AGGAUAAACGCUGGCGGCGUGCCUAACACAUGCAAGUCGAACGCUCUUUUGCUCGCAAGAGCCAGAGGGAGUGGCGGACGGGUGAGUAACACAUGGGUAACCUACCCCCCAGUGAGGAAUACCGGCGAGAAAUCGCCGACAAGACCGCAUAGGCUCGGUCCGGUGAAGCGGAGCGAGCAAAGUCUCGCAAGAGACGCUGAGGGAUGGGCCUGUGGCCGAUUAGCUAGUUGGUAAGGUAAAGGCUUACCAAGGCGACGAUCGGUAGCUGGUCUGAGAGGACGAACAGCCACACUGGGAUUGAGAACGGCCCAGACUCCUACGGGGGGCAGCAGUGAGGAAUUUUCCGCAAUGGACGCAAGUCUGACGGAGCAACGCCGCGUGCAGGAGGACGCUUUUCGGAGUGUAAACUGCUUUUCUGUGGGACGAGAGUGGACGGUACCACAGGAAGAAGCCCCGGCUAACUACGUGCCAGCAGCCGC
This 479-nucleotide ribosomal RNA is filed under the name uncultured bacterium. RNAcentral describes it as "SSU rRNA". It matches the Rfam family "Bacterial small subunit ribosomal RNA", at positions 26 to 518 of the family's 1533-position model. The record is from RNAcentral.